This 268-nucleotide long non-coding RNA is filed under the name Salvia miltiorrhiza (redroot sage). RNAcentral's name for it is "long non-coding RNA (SMIL_LNC007158)". Lineage: Eukaryota; Viridiplantae; Streptophyta; Magnoliopsida; Lamiales; Lamiaceae. The record is from RNAcentral.
AUUCAGAUCAGUAAGAUGGAUCAUAUGCAGAGACUAUGAGAGGUCCCUUUCAGCCAGUCGUAUCGGAGCAGUACAAGUAAGGACAGUUUCCAACCAUAUAUGUGAGAAUAACGGAUAGCAGGGAGAUGAUAACGCGAAAUAGAAGGCGCUCGUGCAGCAUGUGCUGUGCAGGCGGGGGCCGGGGCCGGGGCCGGGCAGGGGGACCGGUCGAACGAUGCUUAGACGUCCCAAUCCUGUCUGCUACAGUGCAAUGGAGAUACUUUAUGGA